RNAcentral lists this long non-coding RNA (947 nucleotides) under Mus musculus (house mouse). RNAcentral describes it as "predicted gene 20544". The record is from RNAcentral. Lineage: Eukaryota; Metazoa; Chordata; Mammalia; Rodentia; Muridae.
AGUUACUGCCACCCUCUCCCAGGUCUAGAGAGGGGUACCCACGGUGGAGGGAGGUGGGAGGCCGAGACGGCCCCGGGGGUCGGCGGAGACCCAGCGGGAGCAGGGGGAAAUCGGAAGAGCUGGGGGCAUGGAGCGGGCGAGUUUGGAGCGGAAUGAGCCGGGAGCCCUACGUUGUGGAAGGAAGACAACAGUAUAGGACCAUCAGCAGGACCGGACAGAGAGGGGCACCCCUGGCUGUCCUGGAACUUGUAGACCAGGCUGGCCUUGAACUCAGAAAUCCGCCUGCCUCUGACUCCCGAGUGCUGAGAUUAAAGGUGUGCACCACCACACCCGACAAGGAAGCCUGUUUUAAGAAGUGAUUCCAUGGAGGAGUUCUGCGGCGGCUCAGGGCUUGACUAAACAGUGGACCUCAGGGUCCCAUUUCUCUCAGUAGACAAGAGAGGCUAAACCAGGCUGCAGGUGACAGGAAGAAUUGAAUAAACUGAAAGCAAAGGGCAGCCUUCUAAUUACGCUUCGUGGCUAUGUGGACAACCUGGAGAAGUCUGGAAACCUUUCCUCCUCCAUUUUACUACUUGAGGGAGCAGUGGGUGGGAUACUAGGCAAGUAGCUGCAAUGGCUGGUGCUUUAUGGUUCCCUGGCAUCCCCUGAAUCUGUUAACAUCCCAACCUUCUUGACAGCCAGCCCCACCCCAUCACAUUCUUACUCCUUCCCUUUCCAAGAAAGAAGCCAGAAGCCCGAAGCCAGCAGUAGAGCUCUGACUGGCUUGUAUGCCUAGAAAGGAAGGGCUCUUCUUUCGCCUCACGGGCACAAAUGGGACCCACGAGCGCCGAUUUCAGACUAUUCUGAUCCCUUCAAAAAGAAAGUUAGGAGUCCAGGCUACUGUGAGUGAAUUUGAUUCUAAUUGUUUCAGAGAAUAUGGAAUAAAAUAUCUCAUUUGCAGUUGUUUA